Bactrocera dorsalis (oriental fruit fly) is the source of this 1308-nucleotide long non-coding RNA. RefSeq lists it as uncharacterized. The transcript is spliced from 2 exons. NCBI's taxonomy places the organism in Eukaryota, Metazoa, Arthropoda, Insecta, Diptera, Tephritidae. The record is from RefSeq and is a predicted model, not a curated record.
AUGUAUAUCGAAAAUGUGCCAGCUACAUCUGCUCUUAACUAAUUCAAGUUCAAACAAACAUUAUACAAUACAUUAUGUUACGAUGGAUAUUGACUUUGAAUAUAGACAAGGAGAACAAAAUAAACAAAAUUUUAUCAUCUGGAUUAUGUCACAUUCCUCGAAAAUUAAACAACAGCGAAAGGCAAAAAAAUCACAAAAAAUAUUAUAGCGAAGCAACUCAGCUUAUCUCUGAUCAGCAAGCAAUUAACGCUAAUGGACAUACAAUUAAAUGCCUUAGUCAACAAAUGAUACAUGAAAAUAUGUACUCUGAAAAAAAAAAACAGACAACUCCUCAGCAAACAAAAAAGAAAAGCAAAUAGUAAAAAAAUCAUCUAAAUAUCAAGGCAUGUUUUAUCAAAGGAUCACCGAAACAUAUUCCUCAAAAAUUCAAAAUUUAAAACGAUAAUCACAACAACACUUCAAAAUAGUUUUUAUCGCCUUCGAACCGUAACGAACAUGUUUGAGUGCGAACCGUUGCAACACGAACGAGUCAAAAGAAAAAUACUCAAUUGCUAAUGGGGGCUCGUUGCCGCGCCGCUGCUUGUUGGCGCGACUUACUUGAGUUGGAAAUUUAUUCCACAGUAAACCGCGGUAAGGAAAGUUUUCCAAAUAGCAAUAACGAAUCGCAUAAGCAACACACCGCAACGCGAGAAACAGUUUUGAAAAAAGUGCUUAAAAUCAGUGCACACUUAAACCUAAAAGGCAAACAGGCCAUGCCGCGCACAAAGCGCAACAAAAGUUAAUAAUUUUUUAUGCAACAACGAAGAAAACGCCAAAGUUGCAUGCAACACAAACGCGAUAAUUGCAAUUGAAUGCGCUGCAAAGCAAAUAAACUGUGAAUAUAAAAGCAAAAUAAUUGCAUUACAACGAUAACAACAACAACAAUAACAAAUUGCAACUGCAACAAGUGCCACAACAGUGUGGCAUGCAUGCAUUUCAGAGCGCAACAGGCAGUGCAUAAAGCAAGUGUAAUAAUAAUAACAACAAUAACAAUUGUGAAUAAAAACACAGCAACAUUGCCCUCAAUAAUUGACCAUAAGUAAAACAGCAACAGCAACAACAAUAGCAAUACUAAUACAAGCCAAAGGGAUUUCAGUGCAAAGUGUUAACUUUGGCGAUUGUUGGCAAAGUCAGCCAGCGUUGGAAAAUACAUAUUUAUUGUGCAUAAUAUGCUAUGUGACUGAGCGUAUGUACAUAUUUCCGGCGACAAGUGUCACACAAUUCGUGCUACAAACGUGCAACAAACGCGAAUGCAUGCUGCAACAUUAA